GAUGAACGCUAGCGGCAGGCCUAACACAUGCAAGUCGAGGGAGAGGAUAACGUCGGGUCUCCAAAAACGGCGCACGGGUACGUAACGCGAAUACAAUGUGAAUUUAACAUAGGGACAGCGAGAAGUAAUGGGGAUUAAUACUAAAAGGGAUAAAAGAGUGGAAUCGCAUGUAUAUUAAGGGUAAGGUGGUGAAAGAUGAGUAUGCGCAGCAUUAGCUAGUUGGUAAGGUAACGGCUUACCAAGGCGACGAUGGAUAGCGGACCUGAGAGGGUGAUCGGCCACACUGGACCUGCGCCACGGUCCAGACUCCUACGGGAGGCAGCAGCAGGGAAUCUUCCGCAAUGGGCGAAAGCCUGACGGAGCAACGCCGCGUGAGUGAUGAAGGUCUUAGGAUCGUAAAACUCUGUUAUUAGGGAAGAACAAAUGUGUAAGUAACUAUGCACGUCUUGACGGUACCUAAUCAGAAAGCCACGGCUAACCACGUG
This 485-nucleotide ribosomal RNA is filed under the name uncultured bacterium. RNAcentral describes it as "partial 16S ribosomal RNA". It matches the Rfam family "Bacterial small subunit ribosomal RNA", at positions 28 to 507 of the family's 1533-position model. The record is from RNAcentral.